UGGGGAAUAUUGGACAAUGGGCGGAAGCCUGAUCCAGCCAUGCCGCGUGUGUGAAGAAGGCCUUUUGGUUGUAAAGCACUUUAAGCGAGGAGGAGGCUACUUGGAUUAAUACUCUAGGAUAGUGGACGUUACUCGCAGAAUAAGCACCGGCUAACUCUGUGCCAGCAGCCGCGGUAAUACAGAGGGUGCGAGCGUUAAUCGGAUUUACUGGGCGUAAAGCGUGCGUAGGCGGCUUCUUAAGUCGGAUGUGAAAUCCCUGAGCUUAACUUAGGAAUUGCAUUCGAUACUGGGAAGCUAGAGUAUGGGAGAGGAUGGUAGAAUUCCAGGUGUAGCGGUGAAAUGCGUAGAUCUGGAGGAAUACCGAUGGCGAAGGCAGCCAUCUGGCCUAAUACUGACGCUGAGGUACGAAAGCAUGGGGAGCAAACAGG
Molecule: ribosomal RNA, 428 nt
Filed under: bacterium
Lineage: Bacteria
Description: partial 16S ribosomal RNA
Rfam family: Bacterial small subunit ribosomal RNA
Source: RNAcentral